CCAGUCGUAGCCGAGUGGUUAAGGCGGUGGACUUGAAAUCCAUUGGGGUCUCCCCGCACAGGCUCGAAUCCUGUCGAUUGCG
This is a non-coding RNA of Ixodes scapularis (black-legged tick), 82 nucleotides long. The record is from Rfam. NCBI's taxonomy places the organism in Eukaryota, Metazoa, Arthropoda, Arachnida, Ixodida, Ixodidae.